GCUGAGGUGGUGGAAUUGGUAUACAC
This 26-nucleotide transfer RNA is filed under the name Saccharina japonica. RNAcentral's name for it is "partial tRNA-Leu". Lineage: Eukaryota; Phaeophyceae; Laminariales; Laminariaceae. The record is from RNAcentral.